UCGGGAAUUUUGGGCAAUGGGCGAAAGCCUGACCCAGCAACGCCGCGUGAAGGAUGAAGUAUUUCGGUAUGUAAACUUCGAAAGAAUAGGAAGAAUAAAUGACGGUACUAUUUAUAAGGUCCGGCUAACUACGUGCCAGCAGCCGCGGUAAUACGUAGGUCCCAAGCGUUAUCCGGAAUUACUGGGCGUAAAGGGCGCGUAGGCGGCAAUUCAAGUCAUCUGUGAAAUCUCCGGGCUUAACUCGGAACGGUCAGAUGAUACUGCUUUGCUAGAGUGCAGAAGGGGCAAUCGGAAUUCUUGGUGUAGCGGUGAAAUGCGUAGAUAUCAAGAGGAACACCUGAGGUGAAGACGGGUUGCUGGGCUGACACUGACGCUGAGGCGCGAAAGCCAGGGGAGCAAACGGGAUUAGAUACCCCUGUAGUCCCUGAGCGGGCUGGCAAGGCGCAU
RNAcentral lists this ribosomal RNA (447 nucleotides) under uncultured bacterium. RNAcentral's name for it is "bacterial SSU rRNA". It matches the Rfam family "Bacterial small subunit ribosomal RNA", at positions 355 to 825 of the family's 1533-position model. The record is from RNAcentral.